RNAcentral lists this ribosomal RNA (684 nucleotides) under uncultured bacterium. Its description in RNAcentral is "bacterial SSU rRNA". It matches the Rfam family "Bacterial small subunit ribosomal RNA", at positions 10 to 685 of the family's 1533-position model. The record is from RNAcentral.
AGUUUGAUCCUGGCUCAGGAUGAACGCUAGCGGCAGGCUUAAUACAUGCAAGUCGUGGGGCAGCAGCUCUGUAGCAAUACAGAGGCUGGCGACCGGCAAACGGGUGCGGAACACGUACGCAACCUUCCUUUAACUGGAGAAUAGCCCCUCGAAAGAGGGAUUAAUACUCCGUAACAUAUUGAAAAGGCAUCUUUUUAAUAUUAUAGCUCCGGCGGUUAAAGAUGGGCGUGCGCCUGAUUAGAUAGUUGGCGGGGUAAUGGCCCACCAAGUCUACGAUCAGUAACUGGUGUGAGAGCACGACCAGUCACACGGGCACUGAGACACGGGCCCGACUCCUACGGGAGGCAGCAGUAAGGAAUAUUGGUCAAUGGACGCAAGUCUGAACCAGCCAUGCCGCGUGGAGGAUUAAGGCCCUCUGGGUUGUAAACUCCUUUUAUCUGGGAAGAAAUCCAUGAAUUCUUUCGUGGUUGACGGUACCAGAGGAAUAAGCACCGGCUAACUCCGUGCCAGCAGCCGCGGUAAUACGGAGGGUGCAAGCGUUAUCCGGAUUCACUGGGUUUAAAGGGUGCGUAGGCGGGUAGGUAAGUCCGUGGUGAAAUCUCUGAGCUUAACUCAGAAACUGCCAUGGAUACUAUUUGUCUUGAAUAUUGUGGAGGUAAGCGGAAUAUGUCAUGUAGCGGUGAA